UAGGGAAUCUUCCGCAAUGGACGCAAGUCUGACGGAGCAACGCCGCGUGAGUGAAGAAGGAUUUCGGUUCGUAAAACUCUGUUGUUAGAGAAGAACAGCGCAUAGAGUAACUGUUAUGCGUGUGACGGUAUCUAACCAGAAAGCCACGGCUAACUACGUUCCAGCAGCCGCGGUAAUACGUAGGUGGCAAGCGUUGUCCGGAUUUAUUGGGCGUAAAGCGAGCGCAGGCGGUCAAUUAAGUCUGAUGUGAAAGCCCCCGGGUCAACCGGGGAGAGUGAUUGGAGACUGGUUAACUUGAGUGAAGAAGGGGAGAGUGGGAUUCCAUGUGAAGCGGUGAAAUGCGUAGGUAUAUGGAGGAACACCAGUGGCGAAGGCGACUCUCUGGUCUGUAACAGACGCUGAGGCUCGAAAGCGUGGGUAGCAAACAGG
This 429-nucleotide ribosomal RNA is filed under the name Bacteroidota bacterium. RNAcentral's name for it is "Bacteroidetes bacterium partial 16S ribosomal RNA". It matches the Rfam family "Bacterial small subunit ribosomal RNA", at positions 355 to 776 of the family's 1533-position model. The record is from RNAcentral. Lineage: Bacteria; Pseudomonadati; Bacteroidota.